GUCCGUUGGUAUUCCAGUGUCCAGGCUGGCGUGCCCGGCUUUGCACGAAGAAGCACUGCGUAAGACAUCUUACUUCAUCUUCCUGCUCGCAGGCAUCAAGUGAGAAGCCGCCACCAGAGUGCUUCCCACCCCACCAGGGACACCUGGUUGCCUGUCCCGGCUAGUCUGUGUCACACACCUGCUAGAUAUCAUGGACAGAAGAGAGGAAGAGGAAACGGCUCAGCAAAUUAGAUGACUCAAAAAGGGACUUGGUUUUUAUGAACUUCAAUAUGAGAACAGAAGGUGCCUUUAUCAUUUGAAGAGUAUAUAAUAUUGCAGAGUGAUCACGGUUCUGGACAACAGCUCUGGGGUUCUAGGACUGUGUCCCAGCCCCAUGACUUAAACAACCACCCAGCCUCGCCAGUGCUGAUACCUCUGAGAAAGUGGAAAUUGGUGGUUGCCUGGUGAUUCAGAAGACUGAAUGCUAGAGCUGGCUGUUUCUUCAUUUCUUAUUCCACUGACUCCUACGAGGACACCAGCUGAGGCAUACCUUGUCAUAUCUAUGAAAGAAAAAUUUAUGUGCAUCUAAAGUAGAGACUAGAAGGGAACUCAGGAGGAACAGAAUCUUUGAAAAGCCCCUAUCUUGGUGUCCUAAUGAUUCUUAUUAAUGCUUAGGUUUUUGAGGCCACGGAGCCACCACUGAAUCCUGUCUCUGUUGUGUAGAAACUGUGUGAUUUGGGAUGAGUUGUUUAACCUCUUCAUCAAAAACAGAACCGCUCCCCACACCACUGCCACCAAAAGCAAACCUUUAUUGGCACUUGAUGAGGACCUGACUGGGUUGAGAACGCGCCCAAGCUUCGGGACCCCUGUGCCGACGCUGUUGCAGUGCCCCAUCCCUCCCAGUCUUGAGUGGGUAAGAAUGUGCCCCUACCUCCAGCUCAAGUGGCUGAAUACAGAGCAGUUACAGCCAUGGAGGCCUAAGUAGAAACCUGCAGGGGUUCGGCCUGGGCCUCCCAGGGCACCCUUUUGGCUCCUCAUGUGAGUGACAUCCCGAGGUGCAGCACCUG
Molecule: long non-coding RNA, 1046 nt
Filed under: Heterocephalus glaber (naked mole-rat)
Lineage: Eukaryota; Metazoa; Chordata; Mammalia; Rodentia; Bathyergidae
Description: lncRNA (ENSHGLG00000036860.1)
Source: RNAcentral